Molecule: long non-coding RNA, 1139 nt
Organism: Alligator sinensis (Chinese alligator)
Lineage: Eukaryota; Metazoa; Chordata; Crocodylia; Alligatoridae
Exons: 3
Source: RefSeq, a predicted model, not a curated record
UCAAGCCGGCCAGGCCUUCUGGAUUUUGCUUGCCUCUUAGGAUAGAAACUAAGUUCAGCUAGAAAAGGACCUUAGCCUUCAGAGGUUGAGGAACAAACUGUAAAAAUAGAGGUAGCUACUGUAAGUGUAAAGUUACGUGGGCAUCCAAGAAUUCAAAGGGAAAGUGGAGAAUAGACUGAAAAACACUGGAGAAGAAUGAGCAACUUCUGGAUUUCUAAUUGUAAUGCUUGAGUGAGUUUACAAGUGAAGAGGUUUAGGAAACCUGUACCAAGUCAAGAGAGAGCUGACUAGUUGAAAGAAUUCCACAAACAAGCUUCAGCAGCCAUGUCAGAUGUGGGCCAAAGCAUGGGAUGGAAGUUUUGAGGAAUAUGGAAAAACCUGGUAACAUGCUCAGUGGCAGGGCACUUCAGUUUUUUAUCGUUCUUGUGCUGAGAAGGACCAGUACAACUCUCCAGAAAGCAAAGUGAGGUUGCUUCCCUUCUUGACAGGACUGCCCCCUGAGAGAUGAGUCUGAACAGCCAAAGAUAUUUUUAAUAAACCAUUGUUAUCUUGAAACCACUCUUAUUCUGACUGGUUUUUGACAAGAUCUAUUUUUCCCUCCUUUCUCUGUUCUCCUUUCAAACAAACCACUAAAACAAGUAGAGAUUAAUUUAGAAAAAGAAACAGCCACAGUGUCAGGUAAAGACCCUUACAAAGUUUUAAACUUGCAACAUUGAAUGCAGAAGAUACAGAAAAUAUGACGUUUUAGAUAAUGAGAUAUAUACAUCAGUUCAAAGGGGGAGUCCUCCUGGAAGGAGGUUUAUAGUGUGCAGUUAAUUCUCAAUUUCAGUUCUGUCAAUCUGAUAUGACACUUAAGCAAGUUUAGAAAGCCACUAUUCAUUUAUAUAGAAAUGGGUUUUAAUAAGAUAUAUGGUAUGCUUCUCUUGGCUCUUGGAUAGCUUCAAAAAGAGCCCUCUUGGAUAGAUCAAGAAGCCAAUAACCUUUAAGAUCAGACUCAAAAUAAAUCACAUUCAAUUUAAUUCAAUUUUUAUUCAAUGAAAUGAUGUAUAAAAAACUUACAAACUUGCGAACUUAACUAUACACAAAAAAUGAUACUUGAUUUAAAUGUAUACACAGAGCAGAGCUGUGGUUCAUGACUU